CAGCAGCCGCGGUAAUACGUAGGGUGCAAGCGUUAAUCGGAAUUACUGGGCGUAAAGCGUGCGCAGGCGGUUAUAUAAGACAGAUGUGAAAUCCCCGGGCUCAACCUGGGAACUGCAUUUGUGACUGUAUAGCUAGAGUACGGCAGAGGGGGAUGGAAUUCCGCGUGUAGCAGUGAAAUGCGUAGAUAUGCGGAGGAACACCGAUGGCGAAGGCAAUCCCCUGGGCCUGUACUGACGCUCAUGCACGAAAGCGUGGGGAGCAAACAGGAUUAGAUACCCCAGUAGUCCCUGUCUCUUAUAU
RNAcentral lists this ribosomal RNA (301 nucleotides) under uncultured bacterium. RNAcentral's name for it is "partial 16S ribosomal RNA". It matches the Rfam family "Bacterial small subunit ribosomal RNA", at positions 509 to 809 of the family's 1533-position model. The record is from RNAcentral.